CAACUUUUUCUACCAUCUCGAGUGUGUCAUAUCCAACGUGACACUUCUUUUGUAUGGAACCUCACCAAUGGAAUGUCUCUCUCUCUCUCUGGACCCACUCUUGACCUUCCUGGGCCACUCUGGUGGAGUCCUAUCCAAAAUAUCCAUUCAACUGGAAUGAGUGUCGUCGUGUGAGAUUCUCUCUGUGUAAUUAUUGCCACAAGUUAUUAUCGCCUGAUUAACACCAAAGGGUUAAUUUAUUGUUAAACGAAGAAAAGCAAGGUGUUUCUAGAGGAUCAAACCUUCGCAUCUUCAUGUAACCACCGAGAGCCAUCCACCCAAACAUAAGCACUCCCAUUGAGCUGGUGAGAAAUGCAAGAGCAUUGCAAAUUGCUUUUGGAAGCUACUUAACACGCGGCUGUUGCAUUUGAGAGGAUACCCCACGGGCAAAAUCGCGAUGACAACUGGCGGAUGGUGCUGUUUAUGGUAAAAUUCAGCAAAACGAGUGGAUUAUUUAUGAGCAAUUGCCAUUUGAUGUUGUCUGCUGGUGUGUACAUUUUAUUGAAGUUAUGAGAAAUGAGCAGUGGAAAAGAAUCGAGCGAUUGAAGGUGAUUUGAAGUCAAGAGAAUCAUCGGACGUGGGAGACAAUCUCGUGAAUGGUAGUCACUAGAGAUGUCUUGCAUUCUCCAUGUGACAACAACAUGAAGAAAAAAAGAUACAGAUGCAAUUCAGCAGUGUCUCCCAGCCAGUGAAGUGUCCCAGAAAAAUUCUCGGGACAAUUUUAUGAUUUUUAAUAUUCUUUUCUGCUCAAUAUUUGUCCAUCCGGGAGUUUUUUUGGGAAGAAUGGCGCAAGAGAACCGGUUCAUGAGCAGGUUUCGCGCUCCUCGACAUCUUAUGUACCUUCUUGCACACCUAUAAAUUUAAAUCAGAAAAAUCCAUCUGUGACUGCAUGAGACAAGCCCUAAAAGAAAUUUUGCGACACAGACAACGAAGGUUUAUCCAUUGGCUGCAUUCCCGAUCCAGCAUAAUUUACCCAGAGACCCAUCAUAAAAAAAAGAGUCCAUUCACAAAUAUUUGAAUGGAUCAUUUUGGAAGACAACUUCAUCAAAACCAUCCAGUCGUUCAUCCGCUGGACAAACACAGAACCACAGAGCGAUAAUUAAUGACCCACCUGAAGUAAUGGAUUCAUUUCAUUCAUAAAAAUCAUGUCUCGAUUGUGUAUGGAGAUGAGAUUGGGAUCACCACUCUGUAUUGAAUUUCAAUUGAUUCCUGACUGCUUUUUUUUGGCACACCAGUAUCUCUAUUUGAUUCGACCGCAGGCAAAAAUUGGAUCACGAGAGAGCACAACACUUGAAGAAUUAAUUAAAGGUGUCAACUGGAAGGUGAUUUUAUGUGUAGGUGGCGACAAAUGCUCUCAACGGGCUCACGAAGGAGAAAGUACUAAUUGCAGGCGAUGUCCUUGGAAGGAUUAUAGCUACAAUCGAACGUACUGGCAUUUAACAUGACAGAUCUCUUAUGUUAGAGUUGAAAUGUAUUAGUUGGUAGAAUUUGUAGAUAAGAGAGUUAGAAGGUUCAUUGAUAAACAAAAAAAAUCUCAUAGAUAUAUAACAGUUAGAAAGCUAUUGAAAAUUGUUCGUGUUUCCAAGACCUUUCUCAUAAACCUACAUUUGUCUCAAUCGGUUAAGAAAUAUGCUCUCUGGAGUC
This is a long non-coding RNA of Phlebotomus papatasi, 1683 nucleotides long. RefSeq lists it as uncharacterized. NCBI's taxonomy places the organism in Eukaryota, Metazoa, Arthropoda, Insecta, Diptera, Psychodidae. The transcript has 4 exons. The record is from RefSeq and is a predicted model, not a curated record.